AUUGAACGCUGGCGGCAUGCCUUACACAUGCAAGUCGAACGGCCGCACGGGGGGUAACCCCUGGUGGCGAGUGGCGAACGGGUGAGUAAUAUAUCGGAACGUGUCCUCUAGCGGGGGAUAACCUAUCGAAAGAUGGACUAAUACCACAUACGACCUUCUGGUGAAAGCGGAGGCCCUCAAGGCUUCGCACUAUAGGAGCGGCCGAUAUCGGAUUAGCUAGUUGGCGGGGUAACGGCCCACCAAGGCGAUGCUCCGUAGCUGGUCUGAGAGCACGAUCAGCACCACUGGAACUGAGACACGGCCCAGACUCCAACGGGAGGCAGCGGUGGGGAAUUUUGGAAAAUGGGCGAAAGCCUGAGCCAGAAAUGCGGCGUGAGUGAAGAAGGCCUUCGGGUUGUAAAGCUUUUUCGGCGGGGACGAAAAGGUUCGUGCUAAUACCACGGACUACUGAGGGUACCCGCAGAAGAAGCACCGGCUAACUACGU
This 485-nucleotide ribosomal RNA is filed under the name uncultured bacterium. RNAcentral describes it as "partial 16S ribosomal RNA". It matches the Rfam family "Bacterial small subunit ribosomal RNA", at positions 30 to 506 of the family's 1533-position model. The record is from RNAcentral.